GAAUCAAUUCCCAGAAUGCUGUUGACUUCCACAUAAGGAUAUUGUUUCUCCAGAACGCUAACCACAUGCUCCACUUUCAGCUGAUCUCCUGUUUUCACUUUGUUAUAUAUCUGAAGAGAGGAUACAAAUGAAGUUGACAGCUGCAACUGUAAAGCUUCUGUCCUUACCAAAGAACCACACCGGACGCCAGUGACAAACCGCAUCCCUUCUUUUCUCAUUUUAUGGCUAUUGAACAACAAGGGAUUUCUCUUUCAGAACAGGAAUUUCAGGGGACGUAGGAUGAGAAGCCUUUCCACAGACCUCUAAUAGAUGACUUCCAGGGAAACAGGUCAGAGUUGCAUGCAGAGGCUUUUGAAAUAGUUGUCUUUUGGUCUUGAGAAAUACCAACUUUCCAC
Molecule: long non-coding RNA, 395 nt
Organism: Calidris pugnax (ruff)
Lineage: Eukaryota; Metazoa; Chordata; Aves; Charadriiformes; Scolopacidae
Exons: 3
Source: RefSeq, a predicted model, not a curated record